RNAcentral lists this ribosomal RNA (665 nucleotides) under Prorocentrum micans. Its description in RNAcentral is "partial large subunit ribosomal RNA". It matches the Rfam family "Eukaryotic large subunit ribosomal RNA", at positions 65 to 658 of the family's 3401-position model. Lineage: Eukaryota; Dinophyceae; Prorocentrales; Prorocentraceae. The record is from RNAcentral.
CUAAAUAGGAUUCCCUCAGUAAUGGCGAAUGAACAGGGAUCAGCUCAGCGUGGAAAUUGGGGCCCUCGGCCUUGAAUUGUAGUCUCGAGAUGCAUCGCCAAUGGAGGCGCAGAUGUAAGCCUCUUGGAAAAGAGCAUCAACGAGGGUGAGAGUCCCGUUUGUCAUCUGCAGUCCCCCAUGCACGGCGUGCCUUCUAAGAGUCGCGUUCCUCGGAAUUGGAGCGUCAAUUGGGUGGUAAAUUUCAUCUCAAGCUAAAUAUUGGUUCGAGACCGAUAGCAAACAAGUACCGUGAGGGAAAGGUGAAAAGGACUUUGAAAAGAGAGUUAAAAGUGCCUGAAAUUGCUGAAAGGGAAGCGAAUGGAACCAGUGUUGCUUGGCGAGAUUGUCGUACGCAUUCGCGUGUGGUGGUUCUUGCCUUGUGUGUCAACGCCAGUUCGCGAUCGAGGAAAACUCCAGGGACAUGGUAGCCUACCCCUGGGUGGGUGAAUGUGCCUGGUAGAACUCAUUUGCGGACUGUUUCCUUCGUGUCUGGUUGCAGUGCUGCUUGAUCUUGUGUUGGCGCUUGGGGGUGGGAGCUCGCUCCUCACACCCUGCCCUUCUAAGGUUCUCAGCGCUUCCCUGACACAUAGACGAUGACUAAAUGGUUCUAUUCGACCCGUCUUGAA